UUGAACGCUGGCGGCAGGCCUAACACAUGCAAGUCGAACGGUAACAGGAAGAAGCUUGCUUCUUUGCUGACGAGUGGCGGACGGGUGAGUAAUGUCUGGGAAACUGCCUGAUGGAGGGGGAUAACUACUGGAAACGGUAGCUAAUACCGCAUAAUGUCGCAAGACCAAAGAGGGGGACCUUCGGGCCUCUUGCCAUCGGAUGUGCCCAGAUGGGAUUAGCUAGUAGGUGGGGUAACGGCUCACCUAGGCGACGAUCCCUAGCUGGUCUGAGAGGAUGACCAGCCACACUGGAACUGAGACACGGUCCAGACUCCUACGGGAGGCAGCAGUGGGGAAUAUUGCACAAUGGGCGCAAGCCUGAUGCAGCUAUGCCGCGUGUAUGAAGAAGGCCUUCGGGUUGUAAAGUACUUUCAGCGGGGAGGAAGGGAGUAAAGUUAAUACCUUUGCUCAUUGACGUGACCCGCAGAAGAAGCACCGGCUAACUCCGU
This 488-nucleotide ribosomal RNA is filed under the name uncultured bacterium. Its description in RNAcentral is "partial 16S ribosomal RNA". It matches the Rfam family "Bacterial small subunit ribosomal RNA", at positions 30 to 506 of the family's 1533-position model. The record is from RNAcentral.